UUGUAAUUUGUAGAGGAUGUUUCGGGUGAAGCCACGGUCCAAGUCCCUUGGAACAGGACGUCAUAGAGGGUGAGAACCCCGUACCUGGCCGUCGGUGCCCCCCGCUGUGAAACUCCUUCGACGAGUCGAGUUGUUUGGGAAUGCAGCUCUAAAUUGGUGGUAAAUUCCAUCUAAAGCUAAAUACCGGCCAGAGACCGAUAGCGCACAAGUAGAGUGAUCGAAAGAUGAAAAGCACUUUGAAAAGAGAGUUAAAAAGUACGUGAAAUUGUUGAAAGGGAAGCGCUUGCGGCCAGACUUGCCCGCGGUUGCUCAGCCCGCCUUUUGGCGGGUGCACUCUUCCGCGGUCAGGCCAGCAUCGGUUUGGGCGGUCGGAUAAAGGCGUUGGGAACGUGGCCUCCCCUCGGGGAGGUGUUAUAGCCCGGCGCGCAAUGCGACCAGCCCGGACCGAGGUUCGCGCUUUGCUAGGAUGCUGGCGUAAUGGCCGUAAGCGGCCCGUCUUGAAACACGGACCAAGGAGUCUAACAUCUAUGCGAGUGUUUGGGUGUCAAACCCGUGCGCGUAAUGAAAGUGAACGGAGGUGGGAACCGCAAGGUGCACCAUCGACCGAUCCUGAUGUCUUCGGAAGGAUUUGAGUAAGAGCAUAGCUGUUGGGACCCGAAAGAUGGUGAACUAUGCGUGAAUAGGGUGAAGCCAGAGGAAACUCUGGUGGAGGCUCGCAGCGGUUCUGACGUGCAAAUCGAUCGUCAA
RNAcentral lists this ribosomal RNA (747 nucleotides) under Venturia viennotii. RNAcentral describes it as "partial large subunit ribosomal RNA". It matches the Rfam family "Eukaryotic large subunit ribosomal RNA", at positions 143 to 908 of the family's 3401-position model. Lineage: Eukaryota; Fungi; Ascomycota; Dothideomycetes; Venturiales; Venturiaceae. The record is from RNAcentral.